GGGAUCGUGGCUUAGCGGUAGAGCACUUGCUUAGCACUUGCUUAGCACGUGCAAGGCCCUGGGUUCGAUCCUCAGCACCUCA
This 82-nucleotide transfer RNA is filed under the name Marmota monax (woodchuck). RNAcentral's name for it is "tRNA.Ala". Lineage: Eukaryota; Metazoa; Chordata; Mammalia; Rodentia; Sciuridae. The record is from RNAcentral.